AACACGUGGAUAAUCUACCCGACAGUCAGGGAUAACAUUUCGAAAGGAAUGCUAAUACCUGAUAAGCCUACGCCCUCUUCGGAGGAAGUAGGAAAAGGUGGGGACCUUCGGGCCUGCCGUUGUUGGAUGAGUCCGCGGCCCAUUAGCUAGUCGGUAGGGUAAUGGCCUACCAAGGCUACGAUGGGUAGCUGGUCUGAGAGGAUGAUCAGCCACACUGGAACUGAGACACGGUCCAG
Molecule: ribosomal RNA, 236 nt
Filed under: uncultured bacterium
Lineage: Bacteria
Description: partial 16S ribosomal RNA
Rfam family: Bacterial small subunit ribosomal RNA
Source: RNAcentral